Molecule: long non-coding RNA, 416 nt
Filed under: Androctonus crassicauda
Lineage: Eukaryota; Metazoa; Arthropoda; Arachnida; Scorpiones; Buthidae
Source: RNAcentral
UGGUUGGGAAAGUUGUAGAGAAGACUGACAGGAGAGUGAUGUAUAGGGGGUGUCCGACAUUAUAUAGGCGAUUGAGAGACGAAAAAGGUAGAUUGGAGGAUGGGCGGAGGUCCGGAGUUUGCAAGAUACCUACUAGGAGUGGGGCUGCAGGUGAGGGUGAGGUCUGCGUGGGGGUGGCGACUGGAACGCUGGAGCGGCGGCUCAGGGAGCGUGGGCGAGACUUGGGUGGCCGGACUGCCAGUGCUGCGCUGGCAUUGGCCGCCGUUGGGAGUGAUUUGCAGGUCGACUGGCAUAGGGCAGAAGUGGUUGGACCUUUAACGAGAGAUGGACAUGCGAUCCUCGCGGAGACUAUUGAAAUAUAUGCUAGAAAGGAGGGGGAGAAGCUUUUUAACAACCAUCCGUCGCAGGAACUCCCG